This 23-nucleotide non-coding RNA is filed under the name Rattus norvegicus (Norway rat). Lineage: Eukaryota; Metazoa; Chordata; Mammalia; Rodentia; Muridae. The record is from RNAcentral.
UCAAAACUUCAAGUGCUCAUAAC